This is a long non-coding RNA of Papilio xuthus (Asian swallowtail), 311 nucleotides long. RefSeq lists it as uncharacterized. The record is from RefSeq and is a predicted model, not a curated record. The transcript is spliced from 3 exons. NCBI's taxonomy places the organism in Eukaryota, Metazoa, Arthropoda, Insecta, Lepidoptera, Papilionidae.
AUAAAUUAAAUUGGAUUCUGCUCUUACGCCAAAUGAUGGUUUGCAGUGUAAUCUGGUCUGCUUAUUUUACGAAUGGUCUCUGCAUUGGCGCUCCUACUGUUAUCAUCCCUCAAAUUCGUCGCGAAGCAAAUUCAACAGAUGUUAUCACUCAAUCCAUGGCAUCAUGGUUAUCGUCCACGGUCUCCUACGGUGGAACAGUGCUGGUGAUGUUCGUUACGGUUCUACCAAAAUGUAUGGGACGAAGGGCAUCUUUCUCUCUUCUAACAAUGGUAGCGCUGAUCGGUUUCUUGAUAUUGUAUUUUGCUAAAACG